CGAAGGAUGCAAGCGUUAUCCGGAUUCAUUGGGUUUAAAGGGAGCGUAGGUGGCCUUAUAAGUCAGUGGUGAAAUCUCUGGGCUUAACCCAGAAAUUGCCAUUGAUACUGCAGGGCUUGAGUAUAGAUGCCGUUGGCGGAAUAUGACAUGUAGUGGUGAAAUACAUAGAGAUGUCAUAGAACACCGAUUGCGAAGGCAGCUAACGAAACUAUAACUGACACUGAGGCUCGAAAGUGUGGGGAUCAAACAGGAUUAGAUACCCUGGUAGUCCACACUGUAAACGAUGAUUACUCGCUGCUAGAGGGUAACUUUUAGUGGCUUAGCGAAAGCGAUAAGUAAUCCACCUGGGGAGUACGCCGGCAACGGUG
Molecule: ribosomal RNA, 368 nt
Filed under: uncultured organism
Description: bacterial SSU rRNA
Rfam family: Bacterial small subunit ribosomal RNA
Source: RNAcentral